This 253-nucleotide ribosomal RNA is filed under the name uncultured bacterium. RNAcentral describes it as "partial 16S ribosomal RNA". It matches the Rfam family "Bacterial small subunit ribosomal RNA", at positions 524 to 776 of the family's 1533-position model. The record is from RNAcentral.
UACGGAGGGGACUAGCGUUGUUCGGAAUUACUGGGCGUAAAGGGUGCGUAGGUGGCGGGGUAAGUCAGGUGUGAAAUUUCGGAGCUUAACUCCGAAACUGCAUUUGAUACUGCCUUGCUUGAGGACUGGAGAGGAGACUGAAAUUCACGGUGUAGCAGUGAAAUGCGUAGAGAUCGUGAGGAAGACCAGUGGCGAAGGCGGGUCUCUGGACAGUUCCUGACACUGAGGCACGAAGGCCAGGGGAGCAAACGGG